RNAcentral lists this long non-coding RNA (413 nucleotides) under Prunus dulcis (almond). RNAcentral describes it as "sRNA ncRNA". Lineage: Eukaryota; Viridiplantae; Streptophyta; Magnoliopsida; Rosales; Rosaceae. The record is from RNAcentral.
ACAUGAGCGUAGUUUUCUACAGAUGUUUAAUCCAGCUUACCAUGGCUUGGACAAUACUGAACCUGAGUUUGAUAUAAAGUGGAUAAGGACCGCUUAGAUGAUCCACAUGUCAAAGCCAAUCUGCUAUUUCAGGUCAGAGUUGUCUUCAACUAUAUGUUUUUCGAAUAAAAACUUCAUGUCGUUUUGCUUUUUAGUUCUCUCAUCGUUUUAUUCUCUUACCAUGCAUGAAUUCUGCUUUCAGCCACAUUUCUCGCAGUUAGAAUUACCAAUCAGUGAUUACGUCACAGACUUGAAGUCAGUAUUGGAUCAAAGUAUGCGAAUCAUCCAGGCCAUGAUAGAUAUCAUAUAUGUGCUAAUAAUGGGUGGAUUUGAAGCUCAAUUACUUGCAUGCAUCUUCUGCAAAUGGUCGUGCA